CAAACAGAGGUGAAUUUUUGUUAAUAAUUUGAUUGGGUACCCCCCUCUUCUGUAAAUUUAAUUCUAGCUUCAAACAUAGAUUAUUUUUAUUAUGUAUAAAAUUACAAGAUUAAUUUUUUAACUAUUUAGCACAAAAAUUUUACUUUCCGAUUAAGUCGCAUAAGUAAACAAAUGGUCAAUUAGGUGCCAGCAUUCGCGGUUACACCUAUAUUUAAUAUGUCGUCCGUGGUUUAGGGUCACUAUGGCCAAAAUAAAAGACAUUAGAGGUAAAAUUCAACUAAUCUUUACUGAAAUAGCCACCUUAAAAACUAAAUAAUAAACAGGGAUUAGACACCCCCCUAUAUAACAUAAAAUAUAACCCAGGGUAGUACUUGAUACAACCACCAAACCCAAAGAAUUUGGCGGCAGUCAACCUUUCCAGAGAGACCUGUACAUUAAUUUGAUAGCCCACCCUGCACCUUACUUUAAUUAAAAUUUGCAUACCGUCAUCUAAAUUUUACUAUUAAGUAAACAUUACCAAGGGCACAAAAAUGUUAGAUCAACGCGCAAUGAAUAUAAAAGCUUAAUAUGGGUCUCAGUUUAUAGUAAAUGAAUAUAAUUUAAAAUAAUUUUUUAGAAAGAGGAUUUGGGUGUAAUAUAGUUUUAGAAUGACUUUAUGACUAAGCCAUUGACUGUGUACAUAUCGCCCGUCGCCCUCGAACCGAGGUAAGUCGUAACAUAGUAGAAGUACUAGAAAGUGUUUCUUUAAUAAU
RNAcentral lists this ribosomal RNA (752 nucleotides) under Proasellus cavaticus. RNAcentral describes it as "12S ribosomal RNA". Lineage: Eukaryota; Metazoa; Arthropoda; Malacostraca; Isopoda; Asellidae. The record is from RNAcentral.